AGCGAACGCUGGCGGCAUGCCUAACACAUGCAAGUCGCACGGGGGGGCUUCGGCCUCCCAGUGGCGGACGGGUGAGGAACGCGUAGGGACCUGUCGAGGGGUGGGGGAUAACCGCGGGAAACUGCGGCUAAUACCGCAUGACGCCGCGGCGUGACAGCCGGGGCCAAAGGCGAAAGCCGCCCGCCGAGGGGCCUGCGUCCGAUUAGCUGGUUGGCGGGGUAGCGGCCCACCAAGGCGUCGAUCGGUAGCUGGUCUGAGAGGGUGAUCAGCCACACCGGGACUGAGACACGGCCCGGACUCCUACGGGAGGCAGCAGUGGGGAAUAUUGGACAAUGGGCGCAAGCCUGAUCCGGCAAUGCCGCGUGGGUGAAGAAGGUCUUCGGAUUGUAAAGCCCUUUCGGCGGGGACGAUGGUGACGGUACCCGCAGAAGAAGCCCCGGCUAACUUCGUG
Molecule: ribosomal RNA, 451 nt
Filed under: uncultured bacterium
Lineage: Bacteria
Description: partial 16S ribosomal RNA
Rfam family: Bacterial small subunit ribosomal RNA
Source: RNAcentral